CCUACGGGAGGCAGCAGUGGGGAAUAUUGCACAAUGGGCGAAAGCCUGAUGCAGCAACGCCGCGUGAAGGAAGAAGGGUUUCGGCUCGUAAACUUCUAUCAACAGGGAAGAAAGAACUGACGGUACCUGAAUAAGAAGCCCCGGCUAACUACGUGCCAGCAGCCGCGGUAAUACGUAGGGGGCAAGCGUUAUCCGGAAUUACUGGGUGUACAGGGUGGGUAGGCGGCAUGGUAAGCCAGAUGGGAAAGCCUUGGGCUUAACCCGAGGAUUGCAUUUGGAACUAUCAAGCUAGAGUACAGGAGAGGAAAGCGGAAUUCGGAGUGUAGCGGUGAAAUGCGUAGAUAUCAGGAGGAACACCGGGUGCGAAGGCGGCCUGCUGGACCGUAACUGACGUUGAGGCACGAAAGCGUGGGGAGCGAACAGGAUUAGAUACCCUGGUAGUC
RNAcentral lists this ribosomal RNA (443 nucleotides) under uncultured bacterium. Its description in RNAcentral is "partial 16S ribosomal RNA". It matches the Rfam family "Bacterial small subunit ribosomal RNA", at positions 338 to 795 of the family's 1533-position model. The record is from RNAcentral.